This 176-nucleotide ribosomal RNA is filed under the name Ganoderma lucidum. Its description in RNAcentral is "partial 28S ribosomal RNA". It matches the Rfam family "Eukaryotic large subunit ribosomal RNA", at positions 8 to 181 of the family's 3401-position model. Lineage: Eukaryota; Fungi; Basidiomycota; Agaricomycetes; Polyporales; Polyporaceae. The record is from RNAcentral.
AAAUCAGGUAGGACUACCCGCUGAACUUAAGCAUAUCAAUAAGCGGAGGAAAAGAAACUAACAAGGAUUCCCCUAGUAACUGCGAGUGAAGCGGGAAAAGCUCAAAUUUAAAAUCUGGCGGUCUUUGGCCGUCCGAGUUGUAGUCUGGAGAAGUGCUUUCCGCGCUGGACCGUGCA